AGGGUGUAAACGCUGCAGACUUGGUGUUGGGGGCCCUUUGGGGGCAUUCAGUGCCGGAGAGAAGUUGUUAAGUCUGCUACUUGGGGAGUACGUCCGCAAGGAUGAAACUUAAAGGAAUUGGCGGGGGAGCACCGCAACGGGUGGAGCUUGCGGUUUAAUUGGAUUCAACGCCGGAAAUCUUACCGGGACCGACAGCAACAUGAAGGCCAAGCUGAAGACUUUGCCGGAUUAGCUGAGAGGUGGUGCAUGGCGUAGUCGUGU
This 261-nucleotide ribosomal RNA is filed under the name uncultured archaeon. RNAcentral's name for it is "partial 16S ribosomal RNA". It matches the Rfam family "Archaeal small subunit ribosomal RNA", at positions 748 to 1009 of the family's 1478-position model. The record is from RNAcentral.